Non-coding RNA from Ciona intestinalis (vase tunicate), 1454 nucleotides. NCBI's taxonomy places the organism in Eukaryota, Metazoa, Chordata, Ascidiacea, Phlebobranchia, Cionidae. The record is from RefSeq and is a predicted model, not a curated record.
AUGUUUUAAUUUAUUGUAAUUAUAUUUUCGCUGCGGGUUUGCGCAAAUGAAGAAAGAAGUUCAAAGAAUCGGUAAAGUAUAAAUCACAAUUGGCAUUAUAACGUACAUAAGCUCUUUUCUAGAAACAUCGCUGAUGUGACGUCACGAAGUGGUGAUGACGCAACAGAAGAACCCACUUCAAAACGGUAUGUGACGUCACAGAGGACCAAGCGACCGAGUUACGAAGCUCUAAAUGAAGAAAAGCCGGCGAAUGAAACCGCAAAAAAGGCACAAGACGAAGAACAAAGACGAAGACGCCGAUAAAGGAUGCCGGUUUGAGGUUUUGAGUGUUUAUUAUUGUGUGUUGAAUGAUUGGGAAGCACUUUUACAGUGUUGCCAGACUGGUUGUCCCUUGACUGGUGCACUCUUACAGUGUUACCAGUCAUUCUGUGUUGCUAGUCAUUUUUGCUGGAUCUAACGUUUGCCAGCUGUUUUUGAAAGUCACUACUAUAGUGCAUUUUGCAUGUCACUGAAAUAUAUGCAAUGAAAUUAUGGCGAACAUCUUGCUGGAUCGGAUUUUGUUGUUGUACACUCUAUUGGGUACUUCGUCUACAAAGAUUGAAUCUUUCAGCGAUUCUGUAUAGACCUAAUCGCUUGGUGAGAACGCUGUAUUGGUACACAAAUACUCCAGUAUAUUACGCACUUUAUAAUAUACGCGCCUUUUUUAACACUUAAGUUCCCUUGUGUUUUAAAUUCCCUCUAAUUAAAUUAAAUUUUAAUAAAUGUUAUGAUAAUUCAUUUCAAUAAAUGUAACUUAAACUUCCCAACGUUAAUAACUAUAUAUUGAAACGUCAUGUAGCGCGAUUGGGACGAUGGCCACGUCACAAUUGCGCUACGACGUCGAUACGGUGGGUCAGAGCAUUGUCCUGACCCAGCGUUCGGUGCGGUUACGUCAGUUUUGAUUGAGUUGCGUCACGGCCAGGUUGUUGCGUGGACGUCGCCGCCAGUGAUGCUACGCUAGGUAUUUAGGUCACUGUCAAUGCGGUUCGUAACCACCUGGCGUAGUUUCGUAACGGUCGAUGCGGUGCGUAGCAGCCGAACGAUAUUAUAUUGCGUGAAGAUAUAACGAGAGUAUCGCGGUACCAACAUGGCGACUUAUCUUGGGGUUAGGACAUACGGAGCUGUUGUUGGCUUCGAUUCCUUGGGGUCGGACAUUCAAUAUGGUGUACACUGCAAAUGAUUAUCCUUCAGGAUUUGAACCAUAUUUUCUUUGAAUAUGUUUCAAUGAUCAUGUCCGCGUUAAUUACUUUUUGCUUGUCCCCUUUUUGUAUGGUUGAGUUGUUGUGUUUGUUGCACGUUUGGCACAAUUUUUCUCUGCACUCGUAGUAAUAUUUUUGUCUUUUUGUCGGCGUGUUAUUUGUAUUCGUUGUACAAUUUUUGUCUAUUGGGGUACUUUAACCUGCGUGGACAGUAAC